UGCGUAGGCGGUUCACUAAGUUGGAUGUGAAAACUAUGGGCUCAACUCAUAGCUUGCAUCCAAUACUGAUGGACUAGAGUUCUGGAGGGGGUAGCGGAAUUCCUGGUGUAGCGGUGAAAUGCGUAGAUAUCAGGAGGAACACCGGUGGCGAAGGCGGCUACCUGGACAGAGUCUGACGCUGAGGCACGAAAGCUAGGGGAGCAAACA
Molecule: ribosomal RNA, 207 nt
Filed under: uncultured bacterium
Lineage: Bacteria
Description: partial 16S ribosomal RNA
Rfam family: Bacterial small subunit ribosomal RNA
Source: RNAcentral